RNAcentral lists this ribosomal RNA (415 nucleotides) under uncultured bacterium. RNAcentral's name for it is "bacterial SSU rRNA". It matches the Rfam family "Bacterial small subunit ribosomal RNA", at positions 917 to 1333 of the family's 1533-position model. The record is from RNAcentral.
GGACCCGCACAAGCGGUGGAGCAUGUGGUUUAAUUCGAUGCAACGCGAAAAACCUUACCUACUCUUGACAUACUUGGGAGCUCUUGUAAUGAGAGUGUGCCUUUUGGAACCAAGAUACAGGUGCUGCAUGGCUGUCGUCAGCUCGUGUCGUGAGAUGUUCCGUUAAGUCGGAUAACGAGCGCAACCCUUACCCUUAUUUGCCAGCGAUUCGGUCGGGAACUAUAAGGGGACUGCCGGUGAUAAACCGGAGGAAGGUGAGGACGACGUCAAGUCAUCAUGGCCCUUACGAGUAGGGCUACACACGUGCUACAAUGGGGAAUACAGACGGCCGCUAACCCGCGAGGGGGAGCUAAUCCGACAAAACUUGUCGUAGUCCGGAUCGAAGUCUGCAACUCGACUUCGUGAAGUCGGAAUC